This 30-nucleotide ribosomal RNA is filed under the name Nitzschia navis-varingica. RNAcentral's name for it is "partial large subunit ribosomal RNA". The record is from RNAcentral. Lineage: Eukaryota; Bacillariophyta; Bacillariophyceae; Bacillariales; Bacillariaceae.
GUUUCGGAUCUCAGAUCAAGCAAGAGGACC